UACGGGGGGGGCAAGCGUUGUUCGGAAUUACUGGGCGUAAAGGGCUCGUAGGCGGCCAACUAAGUCAUACGUGAAAUCCCUCGGCUUAACCGGGGAACUGCGUCUGAUACUGGAUGGCUUGAGUUCGGGAGAGGGAUGCGGAAUUCCAGGUGUAGCGGUGAAAUGCGUAGAUAUCAGGAGGAACACCGGUGGCGAAGGCGCACAUCUGGCCCGAUACUGACGCUGAGGCGCGAAAGCUAGGGGAGCGAACAGG
Molecule: ribosomal RNA, 253 nt
Filed under: uncultured bacterium
Lineage: Bacteria
Description: partial 16S ribosomal RNA
Rfam family: Bacterial small subunit ribosomal RNA
Source: RNAcentral